AACGGAUAUCUCAGCUCUCGCAUCGAUGAAGAACGUAGCGAAAUGCGAUACUUGGUGUGAAUUGCAGAAUCCCGUGAACCAUCGAGUCUUUGAACGCAAGUUGCGCCCAAAGCCAUUAGGCCGAGGGCACGUCUGCCUGGGUGUCACACA
This 150-nucleotide ribosomal RNA is filed under the name Staphylea colchica. RNAcentral describes it as "5.8S ribosomal RNA". It matches the Rfam family "5.8S ribosomal RNA". From Rfam's summary of the family: 5.8S ribosomal RNA (5.8S rRNA) is a component of the large subunit of the eukaryotic ribosome. It is transcribed by RNA polymerase I as part of the 45S precursor that also contains 18S and 28S rRNA. Functionally, it is thought that 5.8S rRNA may be involved in ribosome translocation. The record is from RNAcentral. Lineage: Eukaryota; Viridiplantae; Streptophyta; Magnoliopsida; Crossosomatales; Staphyleaceae.